This 247-nucleotide ribosomal RNA is filed under the name uncultured Actinomycetes bacterium. Its description in RNAcentral is "uncultured actinobacterium partial 16S ribosomal RNA". It matches the Rfam family "Bacterial small subunit ribosomal RNA", at positions 32 to 276 of the family's 1533-position model. The record is from RNAcentral. Lineage: Bacteria; Bacillati; Actinomycetota; Actinomycetes.
AAUCAACGCUGGCGGCGUGCUUAACACAUGCAAGUCGAGCGGUAAGGCCCUUUCGGGGGUACACGAGCGGCGAACGGGUGAGUAACACGUGGGUGACCUGCCCUCAGCUCUGGGAUAAGCCUGGGAAACCGGGUCUAAUACUGGAUAUGACUCCAUGACGCAUGUUGUGGGGUGGAAAGCCUUGUGCGGCUGAGGAUGGGCCCGCGGCCUAUCAGCUUGUUGGUGGGGUGAUGGCCUACCAAGGCGA